CCUACGGGAGGCAGCAGUGGGGAAUAUUGCGCAAUGGGCGAAAGUCUGACGCAGCGAAGUCGCGUGAGGGAUGAAGGUCUUCGGAUCGUAAAACUCUGUCAGCAGGGGAGUAAGAUCACUGUGCUAUUCAGCAGUGCAUUGACGGUACCUGCAAAGAUAGCACCGGCUAACUCCGUGACAGCAGGCGCGGUAAUACGGAGGGUGCGAGCGUUAAUCGGAAUUACUGGGCGUAAGGCGCUCGUAGACGGUAUGUCAAGUCAAGGGUGAAAGCCCCGCGCUCAACGUGGGAACUGCAUUUGAAACUGGCAAACUUGAGUGCGUGAGAGGAUAGUGGAAUUCGAGGUGUAGGAGUGAAAUCCGUAGAUAUCUGGAAGAACAUCAAUGGCGAAGGCAACUAUCUGGCACAUGACUGACGCUGAGGAGCGAAAGCGUGGGUAGCAAACAGGAUUAGAUACCCGAGUAGUC
RNAcentral lists this ribosomal RNA (465 nucleotides) under uncultured bacterium. RNAcentral's name for it is "partial 16S ribosomal RNA". It matches the Rfam family "Bacterial small subunit ribosomal RNA", at positions 338 to 795 of the family's 1533-position model. The record is from RNAcentral.